AACUGUGACCUGCGGAAGGUCAUUAAAUUUCUUUGGCGUGCCACUGUCGGGAGGCGCUGUAAGCCCGUAUAGUAUAAUUAUACUGACUGCAAACCAAUUUCAAAGCGUAUUUGUUAUAGGGUUUCAGCGGUAAUAGCACUAAUUAUACUGCUUGAGCGGCUAGCCCUCUGUCUGAACCCUUGUCUUUUGUGCACUUGUUUCCUCGGCGGGUCUGCCCGUCUUUAGGACCCAACUAUAACCCUUUUUAUUUUUAAUCUGCGUCUGAAAACAAUAUAAUCAUUACAACUUUCAACAACGGAUCUCUUGGUUCUGGCAUCGAUGAAGAACGCAGCGAAAUGCGAUAAGUAGUGUGAAUUGCAGAAUUCAGUGAAUCAUCGAAUCUUUGAACGCACAUUGCGCCCCUUGGUAUUCCAUGGGGCAUGCCUGUUCGAGCGUCAUUUGUACCCUCAAGCUUUGCUUGGUGUUGGGUGUUUGUCCUCUCCUCUGUGUUUGGACUCGCCUUAAAAUAAUUGGCAGCCAGUGUUUUGGUAUAGAAGCGCAGCACAUUUUGCGAUUCUGGCUGAUAAUACUUGCGUCCAUAAGCCUUUUUAUUAACGCUUGACCUCGGAUCAGGUAGGGAUACCCGCUGAACUUAAGCAUAUCAAUAAGCGGAGGAAAAGAAACCAACAGGGAUUGCCCUAGUAACGGCGAGUGAAGCGGCAACAGCUCAAAUUUGAAAUCUGGCUCUUUUAGGGUCCGAGUUGUAAUUUGCAGAGGGCGCUUUGGCGUUGGUAGCGGUCCAAGUUCUUUGGAACAGGACGUCAUAGAGGGUGAGAAUCCCGUAUAUGGUCGCUAGCCUCCGCCGUGUAAAGCCCCUUCGACGAGUCGAGUUGUUUGGGAAUGCAGCCUCYWAAUGGGAGGUAAAUUUCUUCUAAAGCUAAAUACUGGCCAGAGACCGAUAGCGCACAAGUAGAGUGAUCGAAAGAUGAAAAGCACUUUGGAAAGAGAGUCAAAUAGCACGUGAAAUUGUUGAAAGGGAAGCGCUUGCAGCCAGACUUGCCUGUAGUUGCUUAUCUAGACUUUUGUCUAGUGCACUCUUCUGCGGGCAGGCCAGCAUCAGUUUAGGCGGUUGGAUAAAGAUCUCUAUCACGUACCUCCCUUCGGGGUAGGCCUUAUAGGGGAGAUGACAUACAGCCAGCCUGAACUGAGGUCCGCGCAUC
Molecule: ribosomal RNA, 1199 nt
Filed under: fungal sp. 49 SAB-2015
Lineage: Eukaryota; Fungi
Description: eukaryotic LSU rRNA
Source: RNAcentral